UAGCUCAGCAGGUAGAGCAACGCCCUUUUAAGGCGUGGGUCACUGGUUCGAAUCCAGU
This 58-nucleotide transfer RNA is filed under the name Spirochaetaceae bacterium. Its description in RNAcentral is "tRNA-Lys". It matches the Rfam family "tRNA", at positions 8 to 63 of the family's 71-position model. From Rfam's summary of the family: Transfer RNA (tRNA) molecules are approximately 80 nucleotides in length. Their secondary structure includes four short double-helical elements and three loops (D, anti-codon, and T loops). Further hydrogen bonds mediate the characteristic L-shaped molecular structure. tRNAs have two regions of fundamental functional importance: the anti-codon, which is responsible for specific mRNA codon recognition, and the 3' end, to which the tRNAs corresponding amino acid is attached (by aminoacyl-tRNA synthetases). tRNAs cope with the degeneracy of the genetic code in two manners: having more than one tRNA (with a specific anti-codon) for a particular amino acid; and 'wobble' base-pairing, i.e. permitting non-standard base-pairing at the 3rd anti-codon position. The record is from RNAcentral. Lineage: Bacteria; Pseudomonadati; Spirochaetota; Spirochaetia; Spirochaetales; Spirochaetaceae.